UACGUAGGGGGCAAGCGUUGUCCGGAUUUAUUGGGCGUAAAGAGCGUGUAGGCGGCCAUUCAGGUCAGCUGUGAAAACUCGAGGCUCAACCUCGAGACGUCGGUUGAAACCGUUUGGCUAGAGUCCGGAAGAGGAGAGUGGAAUUCCCGGUGUAGCGGUGAAAUGCGCAGAUAUCGGGAAGAACACCCGUGGCGAAGGCGGCUCUCUGGGACGGUACCGACGCUGAGACGCGAAAGCGUGGGGAGCGAACAGG
Molecule: ribosomal RNA, 253 nt
Filed under: uncultured bacterium
Lineage: Bacteria
Description: partial 16S ribosomal RNA
Rfam family: Bacterial small subunit ribosomal RNA
Source: RNAcentral